This 402-nucleotide ribosomal RNA is filed under the name uncultured bacterium. RNAcentral describes it as "bacterial SSU rRNA". It matches the Rfam family "Bacterial small subunit ribosomal RNA", at positions 29 to 429 of the family's 1533-position model. The record is from RNAcentral.
AUUGAACGCUGGCGGCAUGCCUAACACAUGCAAGUCGAACGGCAGCACGGCAGUAGCAAUACUGUGGGUGGCGAGUGGCGGACGGGUGAGGAAUACGUCGGAAUCUGCCCAGUCGUGGGGGAUAACUAGCCGAAAGGUUAGCUAAUACCGCAUACGACCGAGAGGUGAAAGCGGGGGACCGCAAGGCCUCGCGCGAUUGGAUGAGCCGACGUCGGAUUAGCUAGUUGUGGGGUAAAGGCCCACCAAGGCGACGAUCCGUAGCUGGUCUGAGAGGAUGAUCAGCCACACUGGAACUGAGACACGGUCCAGACUCCUACGGGAGGCAGCAGUGGGGAAUAUUGGACAAUGGGCGCAAGCCUGAUCCAGCAAUGCCGCGUGUGUGAAGAAGGCCUCGGUUGUAAG